This 363-nucleotide ribosomal RNA is filed under the name Gilliamella apicola. Its description in RNAcentral is "bacterial LSU rRNA". It matches the Rfam family "Bacterial large subunit ribosomal RNA", at positions 965 to 1327 of the family's 2925-position model. The record is from RNAcentral. RNAcentral also lists the same sequence under 1 other name. Lineage: Bacteria; Pseudomonadati; Pseudomonadota; Gammaproteobacteria; Orbales; Orbaceae.
ACAAGUUGAAUCAUGGGAGACACACGGCGGGUGCUAACGGUCGUCGUGAAGAGGGAAACAACCCAGACCGCCAGCUAAGGUCCCAAAGUCAUAGUUAAGUGGGAAACGAAGUGGGAAGGCUUAGACAGCUAGGAUGUUGGCUUAGAAGCAGCCAUCAUUUAAAGAAAGCGUAAUAGCUCACUAGUCGAGUCGGCCUGCGCGGAAGAUGUAACGGGGCUAAAACUAUGCACCGAAGCUGCGGCAGUGCACGCAAGUGUAUUGGGUAGGGGAGCGUUCUGUAAGCCGUAGAAGGUGUGUUGUGAGGCAUGCUGGAGGUAUCAGAAGUGCGAAUGCUGACAUAAGUAACGAUAAAGCGGGUGAAAA